UACGGAGGAUCCGAGCGUUAUCCGGAUUUAUUGGGUUUAAAGGGUGCGUAGGCGUCCCAACAAGUUAUAGUUGAAAUCUUCAGGCUUAACCUGAAAACUGGCUGUAAAACUGUUGGGAUUGAGUACAGUUGAGGUGGGCGGAAUGUGCCAUGUAGCGGUGAAAUGCUUAGAUAUGACACAGAACACCUAUUGCGAAGGCAGCUCGCUAAGCUGUAACUGACGCUGAGGCACGAAAGCGUGGGGAUCAAACAGG
This 253-nucleotide ribosomal RNA is filed under the name uncultured bacterium. RNAcentral describes it as "partial 16S ribosomal RNA". It matches the Rfam family "Bacterial small subunit ribosomal RNA", at positions 524 to 776 of the family's 1533-position model. The record is from RNAcentral.